This 218-nucleotide unclassified non-coding RNA is filed under the name uncultured fungus. RNAcentral describes it as "sequence contains ITS1". The record is from RNAcentral. Lineage: Eukaryota; Fungi.
GUAUUAUUGAUCGCGUGCGACCGCGAAAAUAAACAUUCUACACUGUAUCGAGUUUUGUGUAAAGACGCGGGCCCUCCGGCAAAGGGGGACCCACGCGGUGGUGCACAGGGUGAGAUGGAUUGUUUGAAAAUGCUCGGGCGUGCACGACCAAAAGUCAGCGACAGCCCUUGCACCUCAGUUUUACAAUAAUGAUCCUUCCGCAGGUUCACCUACGGAAA